This 717-nucleotide ribosomal RNA is filed under the name Pseudomonas yamanorum. RNAcentral describes it as "bacterial SSU rRNA". It matches the Rfam family "Bacterial small subunit ribosomal RNA", at positions 17 to 729 of the family's 1533-position model. The record is from RNAcentral. Lineage: Bacteria; Pseudomonadati; Pseudomonadota; Gammaproteobacteria; Pseudomonadales; Pseudomonadaceae.
UCAUGGCUCAGAUUGAACGCUGGCGGCAGGCCUAACACAUGCAAGUCGAGCGGUAGAGAGAAGCUUGCUUCUCUUGAGAGCGGCGGACGGGUGAGUAAUGCCUAGGAAUCUGCCUGGUAGUGGGGGAUAACGUCCGGAAACGGACGCUAAUACCGCAUACGUCCUACGGGAGAAAGCAGGGGACCUUCGGGCCUUGCGCUAUCAGAUGAGCCUAGGUCGGAUUAGCUAGUUGGUGGGGUAAUGGCUCACCAAGGCGACGAUCCGUAACUGGUCUGAGAGGAUGAUCAGUCACACUGGAACUGAGACACGGUCCAGACUCCUACGGGAGGCAGCAGUGGGGAAUAUUGGACAAUGGGCGAAAGCCUGAUCCAGCCAUGCCGCGUGUGUGAAGAAGGUCUUCGGAUUGUAAAGCACUUUAAGUUGGGAGGAAGGGCAGUAAAUUAAUACUUUGCUGUUUUGACGUUACCGACAGAAUAAGCACCGGCUAACUCUGUGCCAGCAGCCGCGGUAAUACAGAGGGUGCAAGCGUUAAUCGGAAUUACUGGGCGUAAAGCGCGCGUAGGUGGUUCGUUAAGUUGGAUGUGAAAUCCCCGGGCUCAACCUGGGAACUGCAUUCAAAACUGACGAGCUAGAGUAUGGUAGAGGGUGGUGGAAUUUCCUGUGUAGCGGUGAAAUGCGUAGAUAUAGGAAGGAACACCAGUGGCGAAGGCGACCACC